RNAcentral lists this ribosomal RNA (427 nucleotides) under uncultured bacterium. RNAcentral's name for it is "partial 16S ribosomal RNA". It matches the Rfam family "Bacterial small subunit ribosomal RNA", at positions 355 to 774 of the family's 1533-position model. The record is from RNAcentral.
UGGGGAAUAUUGGACAAUGGGCGAAAGCCUGAUCCAGCCAUGCCGCGUGUGUGAAGAAGGUCUUCGGAUUGUAAAGCACUUUAAGUUGGGAGGAAGGGCAGUAAGCUAAUACCUUGCUGUUUUGACGUUACCGACAGAAUAAGCACCGGCUAACUCUGUGCCAGCAGCCGCGGUAAUACAGAGGGUGCAAGCGUUAAUCGGAAUUACUGGGCGUAAAGCGCGCGUAGGUGGUUUGUUAAGUUGGAUGUGAAAGCCCCGGGCUCAACCUGGGAACUGCAUCCAAAACGGGCAAGCUAUAGUACGGUAGAGGGUGGUGGAAUUUCCUGUGUAGCGGUGAAAUGCGUAGAUAUAGGAAGGAACACCAGUGGCGAAGGCGACCACCUGGACUGAUACUGACACUGAGGUGCGAAAGCGUGGGGAGCAAACA